GUUGCUUCACAAUGGUGAAUCCUCCUUUAUUUCUAAUAGGAGUUUUUCAAGUUUCCCGAAGCAUAAAUUAAACCAAAAAAACCAGUUUUAAACAGCGUAGUGUAAUUUUUUUAACUACACUAUGCUACCUGUCUACUGGUACAUUU
Trifolium pratense (red clover) is the source of this 146-nucleotide small nucleolar RNA. RefSeq annotates it as small nucleolar RNA snoR137. Lineage: Eukaryota; Viridiplantae; Streptophyta; Magnoliopsida; Fabales; Fabaceae. The transcript has a single exon. The record is from RefSeq and is a predicted model, not a curated record.